AUGUAGCUCAGUGGUAGAGCAUAUGCCUAACAUGUAUAUAAGGCCCCAGGUUCCAUUCCCAGCAU
Heterocephalus glaber (naked mole-rat) is the source of this 65-nucleotide non-coding RNA. The record is from Rfam. Lineage: Eukaryota; Metazoa; Chordata; Mammalia; Rodentia; Bathyergidae.